GACGAACGCUGGCGGCGUGCCUAAUACAUGCAAGUAGAACGCACAGUUUAUACCGUAGCUUGCUACACCAUAGACUGUGAGUUGCGAACGGGUGAGUAACGCGUAGGUAACCUGCCUGGUAGCGGGGGAUAACUAUUGGAAACGAUAGCUAAUACCGCAUAAUAUUAAUUAUUGCAUGAUAAUUAAUUGAAAGGUGCAAUUGCACCACUACCAGAUGGACCUGCGUUGUAUUAGCUAGUAGGUGAGGUAACGGCUCACCUAGGCGACGAUACAUAGCCGACCUGAGAGGGUGAUCGGCCACACUGGGACUGAGACACGGCCCAGACUCCUACGGGAGGCAGCAGUAGGGAAUCUUCGGCAAUGGACGAAAGUCUGACUGAGCAACGCCGCGUGAGUGAAGAAGGGUUUCGGAUCGUAAAGCUCUGUUGUAAGAGAAGAACGGGUGUGAGAGUGGAAAGUUCACACUGUGACGGUAUCUUACCAGAAAGGGACGGCUAACUACGUG
Molecule: ribosomal RNA, 505 nt
Filed under: uncultured bacterium
Lineage: Bacteria
Description: partial 16S ribosomal RNA
Rfam family: Bacterial small subunit ribosomal RNA
Source: RNAcentral